CGCAUGCUACUCAUGCACAAGGGCCACAUAUUGUGUGAAGGCAAGAUUUUCACUUGGAGAAUGUCAGAAGAGCCAUAAUGCAAAGAAGGAAGCCAAGAAUCCGGCCUGUUGAUGAUGCAACAUCACACAUUCUUUCUUCGGGAGAUAAGCAGGGGCUUACUCAAAACGUCAUUGAUGAUUACAAAGGACCGGGAGUGUUUGCUACCAAGAGAUUUGAAAAAGGGGAUUUUGUCGUGGAGUACAGGGGUGAAAUCAUCUCUUUCGAAGAAUGUCAGUCAAAAAAGUACUCCACUACAGAGAGUACAUAUCUUUAUGAAUUUGAAUGGAAGAAUCAUAGAUGGUGCAUUGAUGCAUCCAGAGAAGAUGGGUCACUUGGACGAUUGGCGAAUGACGACCACAAAGUUUGCUCUGAGAAACAUAGAACCAGGAACUGAAAUUGUCUACAACUAUGGGGACUCAAAAUGGCCCUGGCGUAAAAAGGAGAACCUUGAGAAUGCCAACGUUGGGUCAGAUGAACCCAAGCUGUUCCCUGAUCAUGUUACUACUCAGUAGAACCUUGAGAAUGCCAACGUUGGGUCAGAUGAACCCAAGCUGUUCCCUGAUCAUGUUACUACUCAGGUGUUUUCUGUCGGCGGAAUUUCACUUGUGGAUUAUUCUGACUGAUGAAACCAUGGACGCCAGAGGAGGGUGUAGCAAUUAAGAGGCAAUUGAGAAGGUUUUAAUAAUGAAUAUGACACCGGGUAAGGCAGAUUGUGAAAAAUGCCUUUCCGAAGAACCUGAGGCACUCAAAAACCGAGACUGGAAGGCUGUAAAAUACUUAGUGAAAAACAGAAGUUAUGAACAGAGAAAGAAAUCGAUGUAAGAAAAAAUAGGAAAGGUUUUUUCUCAUCUCUUGGAUUGUUGGAUUGAUGCAAAAGUCAGGUUUUAUUACCAUGCAAAAUGGUAGAAAUGUUCACAAUACAGUUCACAAAGGUUCAACCUAUGCCUGCCUUCGGCAUUCAAGCUAUUGUUAAAAAAAAAAGUAAGUUGUUGCUGUUUCGAUUUUCAUAUUCACGUCAUAAGAACUGAAACUACCGAUGGCAUUAUGGUCUUUUUUUGUCACUUUACCAUACCAAGUAAUACUCAAAGUUGAAUAAAAGUGAGAAAUGUGAGUAAACUCUGAUUAUUUAAUUACUCAUGGAUAGAAAUCGGACAAAUGGGAGAGGGAGGUCGAUGUUCAAGCUGGAAAGUUAAAAACAAAAUGC
This is a long non-coding RNA of Gadus morhua (Atlantic cod), 1244 nucleotides long. Lineage: Eukaryota; Metazoa; Chordata; Actinopteri; Gadiformes; Gadidae. The record is from Ensembl.